RNAcentral lists this unclassified non-coding RNA (344 nucleotides) under soil metagenome. RNAcentral's name for it is "partial contains 5.8S ribosomal RNA, internal transcribed spacer 2, and large subunit ribosomal RNA". The stretch from base 1 to 120 matches the Rfam family "5.8S ribosomal RNA", at positions 35 to 154 of the family's 154-position model. The record is from RNAcentral.
GAUGAAGAACGCAGCGAAAUGUGAUACGUAAUGUGAAUUGCAGAAUUCAGUGAAUCAUCGAGUCUUUGAACGCACAUUGCGCCCCCUGGUAUUCCGGGGGGCAUGCCUGUCCGAGCGUCAUUGCUGCCCUCAAGCACGGCUUGUGUGUUGGGCCUCCGUCCUCCUCCCGGGGGACGGGCCCGAAAGGCAGCGGCGGCACCGCGUCCGGUCCUCGAGCGUAUGGGGCUUCGUCACCCGCUCUUGUAGGCCCGGCCGGCGCUUGCCGACACAUCAAUCUUUUUUCCAGGUUGACCUCGGAUCAGGUAGGGAUACCCGCUGAACUUAAGCAUAUCAUAAGCGGAGGA